Molecule: long non-coding RNA, 1005 nt
Organism: Oncorhynchus keta (chum salmon)
Lineage: Eukaryota; Metazoa; Chordata; Actinopteri; Salmoniformes; Salmonidae
Exons: 3
Source: RefSeq, a predicted model, not a curated record
GUAUAUUAUACAGUUGAGGGUAUAUUACCUGAAGAGGUGUAUUAUAUAGUGGAUGGUAUAUUACCUGAAGAGGUAUAUUAUAUAGUGGAUGGUAUAUUACCUGAAGAGGUGUAUUAUAUAGUGGAUGGUAUAGUACCUGAAGAGGUGUAUUAUAUAGUGGAUGGUAUAUUACCUGAAGAGGUGUAUUAUAUAGUGGAUGGUAUAUUACCUGAGAGGAGGUGUAUUAUAUAGUGGAUGGUAUAUUACCUGAGAGGAGGUGUAUUAUAUAGUGGAUGGUAUAUUACCUGAGAGGAGGUGUAUUAUAUAGUGGAUGGUAUAUUACCUGAAGAGGUGUAUUAUAUAGUGGAUGGUAUAUUACCUGAGAGGAGGUGUAUUAUAUAGUGGAUGGUAUAUUACCUGAAGAGGUGUAUUAUAUAGUGGAUGGUAUAUUACCUGAAGAGGUGUAUUAUAUAGUGGAUGGUAUAUUACCUGAGAGGAGGUGUAUUAUAUAGUGGAUGGUAUAUUACCUGAAGAGGUGUAUUACAUAGUGGAUGGUAUAGUACCUGAAGAGGUGUAUUAUAUAGUGGAUGGUAUAUUACCUGAAGAGGUGUAUUAUAUAGUGGAUGGUAUAGUACCUGAAGAGGUGUAUUAUAUAGUGGAUGGUAUAUUACCUGAGUGGAGGUGUAUUAUAUAGUGGAUGGUAUAUUACCUGAAGAGGUAUAUUAUAUAGUGGAUGGUAUAUUACCUGAGAGGAGGUGUAUUAUAUAGUGGAUGGUAUAUUACCUGAGAGGAGGUGUAUUAUAUAGUGGAUGGUAUAUUACCUGAAGAGGUGUAUUAUAUAGUGGAUGGUAUAUUACCUGAAGAGGUGUAUUAUAUAGUGGAUGGUAUAUUACCUGAGAGGAGGUGUAUUAUAUAGUGGAUGGUAUAUUACCUGGAGAGGUGUAUUAUAUAGUGGAUGGUAUAUUACCUGAAGAGGUAUAUUAUACAGUUGAUGGUAUAUUACCUGAGUGGAGGUGUAUUAUAAAG